AGCUGGUCUGAUGGUAGUGGGUUAUCAGAAUUUAUUAAUAUUAAUGUCACUAAAGUUGGUAUAACUCUCCACUGCUAAAUUUGACUGGCUUUAA
RNAcentral lists this Y RNA (94 nucleotides) under Aotus nancymaae (Ma's night monkey). RNAcentral's name for it is "Y RNA (ENSANAG00000007136.1)". It matches the Rfam family "Y RNA". From Rfam's summary of the family: Y RNAs are components of the Ro ribonucleoprotein particle (Ro RNP), in association with Ro60 and La proteins. Lineage: Eukaryota; Metazoa; Chordata; Mammalia; Primates; Aotidae. The record is from Rfam by way of RNAcentral.